RNAcentral lists this ribosomal RNA (431 nucleotides) under uncultured bacterium. Its description in RNAcentral is "bacterial SSU rRNA". It matches the Rfam family "Bacterial small subunit ribosomal RNA", at positions 29 to 506 of the family's 1533-position model. The record is from RNAcentral.
ACGAACGCUGGCGGCAUGCCUAACACAUGCAAGUCGAACGAGACCUUCGGGUCUAGUGGCGCACGGGUGCGUAACGCGUGGGAAUCUACCCUAGGGUUCGGAAUAACAGUUAGAAAUGACUGCUAAUACCGGAUAAUGACGCAAGUCCAAAGAUUUAUCGCCCAAGGAUGAGCCCGCGUAGGAUUAGGUAGUUGGUGAGGUAAAGGCUCACCAAGCCGACGAUCCUUAGCUGGUCUGAGAGGAUGAUCAGCCACACUGGGACUGAGACACGGCCCAGACUCCUACGGGAGGCAGCAGUGGGGAAUAUUGGACAAUGGGCGAAAGCCUGAUCCAGCAAUGCCGCGUGAGUGAUGAAGGCCUUAGGGUUGUAAAGCUCUUUUACCAGGGAUGAUAAUGACAGUACCUGGAGAAUAAGCUCCGGCUAACUCCGU